GACGAACGCUGGCGGCGUGCUUAACACAUGCAAGUCGAACGAUGAAGCUGGAGCUUGCUCCGGUGGAUUAGUGGCGAACGGGUGAGUAACACGUGAGCAAUCUGCCCUUGACUCUGGGAUAACUGCGGGAAACUGCAACUAAUACCGGAUAUGAGGCUCGAAGGCAUCUUCGGGUCUGGAAAGAAUUUCGGUCUAGGAUGAGCUCGCUGCCUAUCAGCUUGUUGUUGAGGUAAUGGCUCACCAAGGCGACGACGGGUAGCCGGCCUGAGAGGGGGCCCGGCCACACUGGGAAGGAGACACGGCCCAGAUUCCUACGGGAGGCAGCAGUGGGGAAUAUUGAACAAUGGGCGAAAGCCUGAUGCAGAAACGCCGCGUGAGGGAUGAAGGCCUUCGGGUUGUAAACCUCUUUUAGCAGGGAAGAAGCGAAAGUGACGGUACCUGCAGAAAAAGCACCGGCUAACUACGUGCCAGCCGCCGCCGUAA
Molecule: ribosomal RNA, 483 nt
Filed under: uncultured bacterium
Lineage: Bacteria
Description: partial 16S ribosomal RNA
Rfam family: Bacterial small subunit ribosomal RNA
Source: RNAcentral